RNAcentral lists this ribosomal RNA (253 nucleotides) under uncultured bacterium. RNAcentral describes it as "partial 16S ribosomal RNA". It matches the Rfam family "Bacterial small subunit ribosomal RNA", at positions 524 to 776 of the family's 1533-position model. The record is from RNAcentral.
UACGUAGGUGGCGAGCGUUGUCCGGAUUUACUGGGCGUAAAGAGCGCGCAGGCGGCUGGUCAAGUCCGAUGUGAAAGCUCCCGGCUUAACUGGGAAAUUGCAUCGGAAACUGAUCGGCUGGAAGGUGGGAGAGGGUAGCGGAAUUCCCGGUGUAGUGGUGAAAUUCGUAGAUAUUAGGAAGAACACCAGUGGCGAAGGCGGCUCACUGGCCCGGUACUGACGCUGAGGCGCGAAAGCGUGGGGAGCAAACAGG